Molecule: RNA transcript, 3360 nt
Organism: Folsomia candida
Lineage: Eukaryota; Metazoa; Arthropoda; Collembola; Entomobryomorpha; Isotomidae
Exons: 7
Source: RefSeq, a predicted model, not a curated record
AGUCACCAGCACGUCUUUCGCAUUAGUAUACGGUGACUUCUCAGUUAGUUAACGCAAUAUGCAUGCUACUUACUACAAUGCCAAGUAUACGCAUCACGGGCAGAGAAUGUUUGAAUAAUAAGCAAUGUUUAUUUUUUCAUUCAUUUGAUAUCUUCCCCGGAAAAGUAGGAUUGGAUUGUUAUCAUUCACGUCGAGUGCGAUUUCGUGUAAUUCUGUCUCUGUUUCUUCACUUAUUUGUAUCUCGUUGAUUUUGAAAGUUAUUACCAAUUGGUGAGAAGAGAAAGCAUGGUCUGGAAACGAAUAAGUAUAUAGAAAGCUGAGAAUCAAGUGGAAGUGGAAGUAUUAUCAGCAUAAUUAAAUAUUAUGAGUAAAAAUAAUUCGCAGAUCAAUAAAAACAUGUCAGAACCGAUUUCUUCACUUAUAAAUCCUGCAAAAAAACCGUCAAUAUUUCGUGCGAGAGCUUGCAAAAAAGGCUGCCUCGCUUGUGACAAGAAGAACAAUAAAUUGGAGCACAUUGUGGUUUACUUACCAGCAAAAUAUCCAAGCUGUCCACCUGGCCUGGAAAAACUAAUCCCUGUCGACCACCUCUUCGUACGACAGGGGAUUCGAGAAACGGAGCCACCAUACACGAUGAUCUCGAGAAACAAGUUUGAAGUCUUGGACGGAACUGGGCGUCGCAUCUUUGUUGCGAAAGAUUCCACCGACAAUAUUCUCAAACUCUGUUGUCGCGGUGGGUGUGGCCAACCAUUUCGGAUGAGCAUCAAAGAAAAAUCUUCCGGGUACGAGAUACUCGCCGUCAAUUCGCGACCCGACUGUUACGGGGCGAUGUCUGCCUCCAUCAGCCAAAAUGGGAUGAAUCUCGGCUUCCUGCACGAAGAUGUCCGUUGCUGUUCUUCAAACUACAUUGUGAUAGAUGCUCAAGGAAAUGAGAUCUUUCGCAUUUAUGACAUCAGUUUAGGAUCGCCCUACUCCAAGAAGGAAGCGGGCAAACGUAACAGCGCCAUCAAACUGGCCGAGUCCUCGUCACUAGCGAAAAUAGCGGAGAGAGCCAAGAACAUGGAGGUCGAGAGCAAAAUUGGCCAGCAACCUCGAAAUGAAACCACUGGGUCAGGAACACCACCACAAGAACGAGACCAAGAAGAAGAACGACGCCAUUAUUCUCACCGCGAGAAAAAAGGGGGCAGAAGUUCAAAGAAAAUAGAAACAGAUAGGAAUGAUGAUGACGACAAUGUUUAUGAUCAUGAUCAUCCCAUCGAUGAGGCGGAAACAACAACAAUGACUCCUCGAAAAACGGGCACGAUUACCACCACCACCACCGCCCAAAUUCCCGGCCCGAGUAGGACAGGAAAUGAACCAAAACCGAAAUCUGAUGAUAACCUCGACCCAAGAAUAAGGAGCGAGUGCAGUGCGACUUGCAGUAAAAAUCUCUUAACUCGACAUGAUGACAAUCCCAAUAACUAUGAACGUAGUCGUGAAGGUGAAGGGGUACGAAGGAGAACAAAUAAUGACACUUCUGCUCUCCAAAAUUGCUCCCCUGUGUUUCCCAGGAGGAGACGAGUCGAAAUGGGGGAAUGGAAUCAUGACACGGGCGAUGUCAAUAAUAUUGAUGGCGGUGGUGGCGAGUGCGUCGAAAUGAGAAACUUUUCUGCUGGACAACAACGAGGUACACAUACGACGAAAUUUCCAUCCGUGAUGCUGAUGUGCAGCCCUCGACCUGCAUUUGUGGGUGGUGUUGCAGAUUGUUUGCGCGUAGGCGUGCCGCGACAAACGAGGGUGCUGGUCGUGACGAUAGGAGUAGCAGCAUCGGGGUGUGUAGGACGCUGGAUUCCUGCAUUGCAUACAUCAGUGGGGGUGCCGAGUUUGCGGUGUACUCGUGUCAGCUGGGCGUCACUGUGGGCAAGAUGGGGAAACAGUGGGACGACCUGUUUGACCACCAUUUCCACCUGACGGAAUGCUUUGGGGUCAAUUUUCCGAGGGAUUUGAGCGUCAGACAUAAAGCUCUGCUGUUGGGAGCGUUGUUAGUUUUGGAUUUUAAUCAUUUUCAAUUGUGACAUCGUGAAGUAAUCCCGAUGAUGAUAUUUGCCGUGAAUGAUUCCAGUUAUGUGAAUAUGUAACACAUUUCAACUGAUAUUUCGACGUGCACAUACACACAAAUACAUAUUUUCACAUGUCUCAUAUUGCAUUAAUAAAUGGGGUUAAUAUGGACGUAUUUAAAUACUGAAUUUCAUAGGGUUUGUAUGUUAUGAAAUCUUAAGGGCCCGGGGGAAGUUGCUUAGAAAUCAUGUCAACUUUGAUCAUAAAAUUCAGCAAUGCGCAAGAGGGCACAUUUUUCAAAUUAUGUUUAAUUUGUUAGUUAUAUCUUUAGGUUUUACUAACUUUUUUUUUGACAAUGUGCCCUCUUGCGCAGUGGAGAUAUCUGGUCAUAAAGUCAGAGACUGGCGGAUUAAAGAUAUUGGGAUUAAGGAUUGAGAUUGAGGAUUAAAUUUAAAAUCUUGGGAUUGAGAUUGGGAAUUAAGGAUUAAUUUUUCAAAUUUUGGGAUUAAGGAUUGGGAUUAGGGAUUGAAUUUAAUCUGGGAUUAGGAUUGACACGGGAUUAAAUUUAGGGGUUACCUGGUUUGGAAAUUAAUUUACAUAGUCGUGGAUUAAUUGUUUGCAUUAAGGCGCAUUAUUAUGCCAGAUUUUUAAAUUAAUUAAACAAAUCUCUGAACUUCUGAAAAUGAAAUAUUUUGAUCAUUUUGCAUACAAAAUUAGAUCGCUUCUGAAUACAAUUUCUAAGUCGCAAUUAAAUAUAUUUUGUGCUAAAAAUUAUAUAGGGGAAGAAUUCUAAUUUUAUUCUUGGUACUAUUUUAACGAACAGCAUCGAUCAUAGUUUGGUUAGAGUACUCACAUUUCUUUAUAAGCUCACACAAAAUUUGAACAUUGUGCAUUGAGUUGAGGAUACCGCGAUACGAGUAGUUUUGCAAAAUAUUGUGAAGUAUUUUUAAAUGUUUGAUAAAAAUGAACGAAAUGCAAUCAAUUUUCGAAAGGGGAGCGAUCUCAAGAGAAGUUUGUUUUUCGAGUUUUUAGUCAAUGCAAAUUUAAUCCCACUUUAAUCCCACCUUUGGAUUAAAGUUGACAGAGUUGGAUUGGGGAUUAGGGAUUAAGGAUUAAAAUUCAAAAACUCGGGAUUAAGGAUUGAGAUUAAGGAUUAAUUAAUCCCCAAUCCCAAUCUCAAUCCCCAAUCCUUAAUCCGGGAUUGACCAGUCUCUGCAUAAAGUAAGCACAAAUUGGCUUAGAAUUGCAAAAUUGAUGGCAUGAAUUGCAUUUUGAGUAUCCAUGGAACAAAAGAAAACAACUUUUUUCAAAAACUUGAGGGAAAAG